Molecule: ribosomal RNA, 817 nt
Filed under: Olea europaea subsp. europaea
Lineage: Eukaryota; Viridiplantae; Streptophyta; Magnoliopsida; Lamiales; Oleaceae
Description: Eukaryotic small subunit ribosomal RNA
Rfam family: Eukaryotic small subunit ribosomal RNA
Source: Rfam by way of RNAcentral
CAAGUUGAUCCUGCCAGUAGUCAUAUGCUUGUCAGAAAGAUUAAGCCAUGCAUGUGUAAGUAUGAAUUAAUUCAGACUGUGAAACUACAAAUGGCUAAUUAAAUCAGUUAUAGUUUAUUUUAUGGUACCUGCUACUCGGAUACCCAUAGUAAUUCUAGAGCUAAUAUGUGUAACAAACCUUAACUUUUAGAAGGGAUGCAUUUAUUAGAUAAAAGGUCAACAUGGGCUUUAUCUAUUGCUGCGAUGAUUCAUGAUAACUCAACGGAUCGCACGACCCUCGUGUCGGCGACGCAUCAUUCAAAUUUUUGCCCUAUCAACUUUCGAUAGUUGGAUAGUGGCCUACUAUGGUGGUGAUGGGUGAUAGAGAAUUAGGGUUUGAUUCUAGAGAGCGAGCCUAAGAAACAACUACCACUUCCAAGGAAAACAACAGGCGUGCAAAUUACCCAAUCCUGACACGGGGAGGUAGUGACAAUAAAUAACAAUACCGGGCUUUGAGAGUCUGGUAAUUGAAAUGAGUACAAUCUAAAUCCCUUAACGAGGAUCCAGUGGAGGGCAAGUCUAGUGCCAGCAGCCGCGGUAAUUCCAGCUCCAAUAGCGUAUAUUUAAGUUAUUGCAGUUAAAAAGCUCGUAGUUUGACCUUAGGUUGGGUUGGCCGGUCUGCCUAUGGUGUGCACUGGUCGUCUCGUCCCUUCUGUUGAUGAUGUAAUCCUGGCCUUAACUGGUCAGGUCAUGCCUUCAUCUCUGUUACUUUAAAGAAAUUAGAGUGCUCAAAGCAAGCCUACUCUUACAUCCUACACGGUUGUGAUCGAUUCGUCCA